This 291-nucleotide unclassified non-coding RNA is filed under the name uncultured fungus. RNAcentral's name for it is "partial contains small subunit ribosomal RNA, internal transcribed spacer 1, and 5.8S ribosomal RNA". The stretch from base 1 to 73 matches the Rfam family "Eukaryotic small subunit ribosomal RNA", at positions 1759 to 1831 of the family's 1831-position model. Lineage: Eukaryota; Fungi. The record is from RNAcentral.
UCAAACUUGGUCAUUUAGAGGAAGUAAAGGUCGUAACAAGGUUUCCGUAGGUGAACCUGCGGAAGGAUCAUUAAAAAAAAAUAAUAAUCCACAAAUCUACCUCUUGUGCAACUAUUGAAGAAAAGUUAAUCUUUGGGAGAUUGAGGGAGGAAAAUUUUCCUUUCCUCAUCUCCCAAAGGUGUUUUUAAUAUAAAACUUUUUUCAUUUAAAUGGCUUAACAAUUAAACAAAUAAUUACAUAACAACUUUCAACAACGGAUCUCUUGGCUCUCGCAUCGAUGAAGAACGCAGC